RNAcentral lists this long non-coding RNA (213 nucleotides) under Trifolium pratense (red clover). RNAcentral describes it as "long non-coding RNA (TPRA_LNC001536)". Lineage: Eukaryota; Viridiplantae; Streptophyta; Magnoliopsida; Fabales; Fabaceae. The record is from RNAcentral.
AAACAUAGAUUUGCAUUAAGUGAAUACUAUUACAAGAGUAAUUUCACGGAUACAUUAGAUUACACAACAACACACUACAUUCUAAGCUAUCCUAGAUCCUACCUCGAUGAAGAAUCUAGCUCCUCAUCUUGAUCUGAUCAGCCUCUAUCUUCAACUUCAUGGUUCUUGACUCCAUUGUGUUGAAGAUGUUGCAGCUGUACACUUCAUUCCANN